AUUGAACGCUGGCGGCAUGCCUUACACAUGCAAGUCGAACGGCAGCGCGGGCUUCGGCCUGGCGGCGAGUGGCGAACGGGUGAGUAAUACAUCGGAACGUGCCCUAGAGUGGGGGAUAACUAGUCGAAAGAUUAGCUAAUACCGCAUACGAUCUACGGAUGAAAGUGGGGGACCGCAAGGCCUCAUGCUCCUGGAGCGGCCGAUGUCUGAUUAGCUAGUUGGUGGGGUAAGAGCCUACCAAGCCGACGAUCUGUAGCUGGUCUGAGAGGACGACCAGCCACACUGGGACUGAGACACGGCCCAGACUCCUACGGGAGGCAGCAGUGGGGAAUUUUGGACAAUGGGCGCAAGCCUGAUCCAGCAAUGCCGCGUGCAGGAAGAAGGGCCUUCGGGUUGGUAAACUGCUUUGUACGGUAAGAACACUCUCGUGAAGGAGCUUGACGGUACCGUAAGAAUAAGGAUCGGCUAACUACCGUGCCAGCAGCCG
RNAcentral lists this ribosomal RNA (487 nucleotides) under uncultured bacterium. Its description in RNAcentral is "bacterial SSU rRNA". It matches the Rfam family "Bacterial small subunit ribosomal RNA", at positions 30 to 517 of the family's 1533-position model. The record is from RNAcentral.